CUUUAACAACCACUUUUUCAGAAUUUAUUGAAUCCAGAUCAAUAACAAAAUGAUACCAUUCAUUAAAGUCGUGGCUCUACAUAGCAGGUAGCAAAUUAUGUACCACAUAGACAAAAACCUAACUUUAAGUCAUGAGUUUAGGUUGACUCCAUUCUUCUUCUCCUUCUUCAUUAUUUUGGAGAAGCACGUCCGUUCCCAAUGCUCCAAAAUGGUACCACCCAGUACU
RNAcentral lists this long non-coding RNA (226 nucleotides) under Actinidia chinensis (golden kiwifruit). RNAcentral's name for it is "long non-coding RNA (ACHI_LNC002869)". The record is from RNAcentral. Lineage: Eukaryota; Viridiplantae; Streptophyta; Magnoliopsida; Ericales; Actinidiaceae.